Molecule: ribosomal RNA, 1262 nt
Filed under: Strongyloides fuelleborni
Lineage: Eukaryota; Metazoa; Nematoda; Chromadorea; Rhabditida; Strongyloididae
Description: SSU rRNA
Rfam family: Eukaryotic small subunit ribosomal RNA
Source: RNAcentral
GUUGGAUAACUGAGGUAAUUCUUGAGCUAAUACACGCUAUUUAUACCACAUUAGUGGUGCGUUUAUUUGAUUAAACCAUUAUAACGGUUGACUCAAAAUAUCCUUGCUGAUUUUGUUACUAAAACAUACCGUAUGUGUAUCUGGUUUAUCAACUUUCGAUGGUAGGGUAUUGGCCUACCAUGGUUGUGACGGAUAACGGAGAAUUAGGGUUCGACUCCGGAGAGGGAGCCUGAGAAACGGCUACCACAUCCAAGGAAGGCAGCAGGCGCGAAAAUUACCCAAUUUUAGUUCAAAGAGGUAGUGACGAAAAAUGACAACCAAAUAUUAUUAUUAAUAUUUGGAUUGAAAAUCUUCAAGUUUAAAUAACUUGUUGGUAAAGGAAAGGGCAAGUCUGGUGCCAGCAGCCGCGGUAAUACCAGCUUUCCAAGUGCAUAAAAUGAUUGUUGUGGUUAAAAAGCUCGUAGUUGGAUUAUAAAGAUUGUAUAAUGAGCAUCUUGGAUGUUUUAAUUUCAUUAUCAUCUUAUUAUUUUUAUUAUUUUUCUUUAAAAAAAAAUAAUAAACUGUUACUUUGAAUAAAUCAGAGGGUUUAAACCAGGCAUUUAUAUGCUUGUAUGGUCUAGCAUGGAAUAACACUAUAGAAAAAGUUAGUGUGGUUUCACUAAUCUUUUUCAUGAUUAAUAGGAACAAACGGGGGCAUUCGUAUCGCUACGUUAGAGGUGAAAUUCUUGGACCGUAGCGAGACGUCCUACUGCGAAAGCAUUUGCCAAGAAUGUUUUCAUUAAUCAAGAACGAAAGUUAGAGGUUCGAAGGCGAUCAGAUACCGCCCUAGUUCUAACCGUAAACUAUGCCUACUAGGUGUAUGAAUUAUUAGUUAUAAUAAUUUAUGCACCUUCUCGGAAACGAAAGUCUUUCGGUUCCGGGGGAAGUAUGGUUGCAAAGCUGAAACUUAAAGGAAUUGACGGAAGGGCACCACCAGGAGUGGAGCCUGCGGCUUAAUUUGACUCAACACGGGAAAACUCACCCGGGCCGGACACUAUAAGGAUUGACAGAUUGAUAGCUCUUUCAUGAUUUAGUGGUUGGUGGUGCAUGGCCGUUCUUAGUUCGUGGAUAUGAUUUGUCUGGUUGAUUCCGAUAACGAGCGAGACUUUUAUGUUAUAUUAAAUAAUAUUAUUAUUAAAUUUUAUGGUUUUAUAUAAUAUUUUAUUUUAAUAACAGAUUAAUAGUGUUUAACUAUUUGAGAGAGAGCAAUAACAGGUCUGUGA